This 323-nucleotide ribosomal RNA is filed under the name uncultured eukaryote. RNAcentral's name for it is "partial 18S ribosomal RNA". It matches the Rfam family "Eukaryotic small subunit ribosomal RNA", at positions 1470 to 1796 of the family's 1831-position model. The record is from RNAcentral.
CCCUUAGAUGUUCUGGGCUGCACGCGUGCUACAAUGAAGCGUCCAACAAGAUGCGAAGCCGAAAGGCUCAGCGGAUCUUUGAAGUCGUUUCGUGACCGGGACAGUUGAUUGCAAUUAUUCGACUCGAACGAGGAAUUCCUUGUAAUCGCGGUUCAUCAUAUGGCGCUGAAUACGUCCCUGCCCUUUGUACACACCGCCCGUCGCUCCUACCGAUUGAGCGAUCCGGUGAAAUCUUCGGAUCUGAGAGAUGUCUGAUUAAUUUCGGACGCCUUUUGGAAAAGUUGUUUAAACCUUACCAUUUAGAGGAAGGUGAAGUCGUAACA